CUUCCUUAAGUUAGAUUUUAUGGGACUUUUUUCUGUGUAUAUUUGGGGUAUAAUGCUAAAGAUUAAAACUUAAAAAUCUUCUGUUGCAAUUACUUUCGGGUUAGGGUCAAAUUUAUGCUAGAUUGACUGGACUAUUAUUGUUUGAACUUUUAUUUACUAAUGUGUGUCUUAUAGACGUUUUUCGCUUCAGACCAAGGCUUUUUCAUAAUCUUUAAUGUUUUGAGUUUAAUUAUCUGUUUGCGGUUUACCUUCACCUCUGUUUCUUUUUUAUGUGUAUUUUGAUGAAUACUCUUUGAC
This 297-nucleotide long non-coding RNA is filed under the name Mytilus galloprovincialis (Mediterranean mussel). The record is from RNAcentral. Lineage: Eukaryota; Metazoa; Mollusca; Bivalvia; Mytilida; Mytilidae.